This 253-nucleotide ribosomal RNA is filed under the name uncultured bacterium. RNAcentral's name for it is "partial 16S ribosomal RNA". It matches the Rfam family "Bacterial small subunit ribosomal RNA", at positions 524 to 776 of the family's 1533-position model. The record is from RNAcentral.
UACGGGGGGGGCAAGCGUUGUUCGGAAUUACUGGGCGUAAAGGGUUUGUAGGUGGCUGGCUAAGUCAGACGUGAAAUCCCUCGGCUCAACCGGGGAACUGCGUCUGAGACUGGUCAGCUCGAGUGCAGGAGAGGAGCGCGGAAUUCCAGGUGUAGCGGUGAAAUGCGUAGAUAUCUGGAGGAACACCGGUGGCGAAGGCGGCGCUCUGGACUGUAACUGACGCUGAGGUGCGAAAGCCAGGGGAGCAAACGGG